Molecule: ribosomal RNA, 414 nt
Filed under: Pichia kudriavzevii
Lineage: Eukaryota; Fungi; Ascomycota; Pichiomycetes; Pichiales; Pichiaceae
Description: SSU rRNA
Rfam family: Eukaryotic small subunit ribosomal RNA
Source: RNAcentral
CCAGCAGCCGCGGUAAUUCCAGCUCCAAUAGCGUAUAUUAAAGUUGUUGCAGUUAAAAAGCUCGUAGUUGAACUUUGGGCCUGGGCGGACGGUCUACCUAUGGUAAGCACUGUUGCGGCCGGGUCUUUCCUUCUGGCUAGCCCUCGGGCGAACCAGGACGAUUACUUUGAGGAAAUUAGAGUGUUCAAAGCAGGCCUUUGCUCGGAUAUAUUAGCAUGGAAUAAUAGAAUAGGACGCAUGGUUCUAUUUUGUUGGUUUCUAGGACCAUCGUAAUGAUUAAUAGGGACGGUCGGGGGCAUCAGUAUUCAGUCGUCAGAGGUGAAAUUCUUGGAUUGACUGAAGACUAACUACUGCGAAAGCAUUUGCCAAGGACGUUUUCAUUAAUCAAGAACGAAAGUUAGGGGAUCGAAGAUG